UCGAAACUUGUUUUUGACAGAGCGGGACAUCCAAUUUAAAAUAAAAACUUCGAGUUCGUCAGCGAAAAACUUAAACCCUCUUAAUCGCCACCAUCAAAUUGAAUUGCCUCGUGCUUACGUCUAUGACAUUCUUUAGUUAGAGAGGUUGUUUGAAGUCAGUUUGUUUCGAAACAGAUCUUCUAGUCAAAUCUUUGAUUUGGAAUUGCUGACUACUUUCUCUCUAUUAGUGUAAAAUUUUCUGAAGCAAAAUAUGGUGUUCAAAGAUUAUGCACUAGAAAUCACAAGAAAGAAGCCACCUGAUGCGAUGACUCGAUUACCAGGUGUUACUUAAGAAAACUCCAUGAUUCUAACUGUAGUUCGGAAUUUAGUUUGUAUUGGUCUCAAGAAGAUAAAUACCCGGACAAUCUCUGUAGACUACAGAAGAAAGGACUGGUGCAGUCUUCUUGAGAAAGCCAGGGUCCAACCAGGACUGUCGAGAUACUGAUGAUAGUUUGUAUUUCUAAAGGGUGGUCUAAAUCAGAGACCUUUCCAACCUAGAAAAUAAUUUGGAUGCCUCGAAUGCCGACAGUGCUAUGGUAUUCUGAUGGGAAAAAGUAAAUAUUGGUUGUUGAAUCAGCUAUUUUUGAAACAUGUGAUCCAACAGCAGGUCUUUUUUUAAUUGUGUAUCCGUGGAAUAUACAGGGUAUUUAUAAAUUCUCGGACCCAUUUUGAUGUUUAAUAACUCAUAAAAUAAUGAAGACAUAAACAAACUUAUGGCAUUUAUUGAUGGAAUAUAUCAUAUUUGUGGGAUUUAGUGCAGCAAAGUAAAUAACGAUGAUAAUUUACUCCUAUGCUGCACUAACUCCCACAUAUAUUUUACUUUUCAGGUUUGAAUAUCUUUACUUUUGUAAAUAUCGUCUGCAACAGAUAUAGUAGGAAGAAUAGAAGAUGAUGCUGAUUUUCUGAAGCGCAUAAUGUUCUCCGACAGAGCAUCCUUUCAUGUUUCUGGCAUUGUUAAUCACUAUAAUGUGCGCAUAUGGGGAUCUGAAAACUCCCAUGAAUACCGUGAGACACAAAGGGAUUCCCCAAAGGUUAAUGCAUGGUGUGGACUAAUGCACGACCGAGUCAUUGGGCCUUUCUUUUUUACAGAAAAGACGGUCUCAUCAGUCGUAUACUUAGACAUGUUGGAAAACUUCGUAUUUCCACAAUUAGAAUAGCUUCAGCCACAUGUCUUUUUACAACAAGAUGGUGCACCAUCCCAUUGGGCUAUCAUCGUUCGUAGUUCUUUGAAUGACCAUUUUCCAGGAAGAUGGAUUGGAAGAGGAGGUCCAAUUCCUUGACCACCCA
Parasteatoda tepidariorum (common house spider) is the source of this 1326-nucleotide non-coding RNA. The record is from RefSeq and is a predicted model, not a curated record. NCBI's taxonomy places the organism in Eukaryota, Metazoa, Arthropoda, Arachnida, Araneae, Theridiidae.